RNAcentral lists this ribosomal RNA (274 nucleotides) under uncultured bacterium. Its description in RNAcentral is "partial 16S ribosomal RNA". It matches the Rfam family "Bacterial small subunit ribosomal RNA", at positions 523 to 796 of the family's 1533-position model. The record is from RNAcentral.
AUACGGAGGGUGCAAGCGUUGUCCGGAUUUAUUGGGUUUAAAGGGUGCGUAGGUGGUUUUUUAAGUCAGUGGUGAAAGCCUACAGCUUAACUGUAGAGGUGCCAUUGAUACUGGGGAACUUGAGUAUGGACGAGGUAGGCGGAAUUUGUGGUGUAGCGGUGAAAUGCAUAGAUACCACAAGGAACACCGAUAGCGAAGGCAGCUUACUGGGCCAUAACUGACACUGAGGCACGAAAGCGUGGGGAGCGAACAGGAUUAGAAACCCCUGUAGUCC